Molecule: non-coding RNA, 90 nt
Organism: Turdus rufiventris (rufous-bellied thrush)
Lineage: Eukaryota; Metazoa; Chordata; Aves; Passeriformes; Turdidae
Source: the annotation of a GenBank genome assembly
CGCAGCCUCGGUGAGGGAGGGCCGGGCUCGCUGAGGGCGGGCCGGGCUCGGGCUCCGCUCCCGCUCCGGUUCCUCCUCCCGGCGCUGCUC